This is a long non-coding RNA of Leguminivora glycinivorella, 561 nucleotides long. RefSeq lists it as uncharacterized. Lineage: Eukaryota; Metazoa; Arthropoda; Insecta; Lepidoptera; Tortricidae. The transcript has 3 exons. The record is from RefSeq and is a predicted model, not a curated record.
UUUUUUAAGGCUGUUCUGGAAUGACAUUUGUUAGGUUUUGUUUACUUCAAGGUCUGAUACAGAAACUGGAGUAAUUCUCAUUUAAUUAAUUAGAGUAUUUUAUUGUUCAUUCGUUUGCCACCCGGCUUUUGUUUUGGGUCCUUUAAAUUCGAGAUCAUUCAGUGCGGCGUUCUUUUUGUGACGAGAUCCUCUUGAUAGUGAUCGGACGGCCGUAUAAGGGCCUGGAGCCCGGCAUGCCACGUGCUGCCGUGGCGUUCCAUAUUUUGUGUGGUGCGUUCUGUCAGUCUGACUGGCAGAAACAUGCUAAGGGUGGGAGUGCUCCGUGGAGAUCCUCGGUCUGCAGUCUGCAGGUGUCCGGAGUCGGGAAGAAGUAAAGAAUUAGAGAAUUGCAGAAGUAGAUAAUUAAACAAGAACCUUUACAAUUUUGAUGUGCAAGGAAACUUCUUUGGCUUACUAGCGCAAGGUGUCUUUGGACCUUGUUUUCGUAUGGAAGGGUCAGCCCUGUCCACGUGGCGAGGGGGCGUCAGCACCGGAGUCCGGGGAGCAGCCGGCUCAUCCCUG